CACCUAUCUGCGGGAAAUGGCGACGAAGUGAUGUUUAAUUGGCGAAGAUGAGAGAACUGCUUUCGACAGUGUCCACGAACCGAAUUCAGUUCAGUUAGUAGUCGCGAGAGUGUACGAGUGGAUUAGUAACAUUGUUGGAAAGGUUUUACGUUGUGCGAAGUUGUGGUCUCAUCGGAACCUGCUGCUGUUGUCUCUCCCCGCAUGGUCUUUUUUAUGCCUUCUGGAUUCGCUGAAACAGCCAAAGUCGGAAUUAAUCCAGAAUACAUCAGUUCGCCACUCGGAAUUUAUUUUGUGCUGUAUGGUGUGGAAGCUGAACAAGAAGGGUACCAGAUCUGAAGUGCAAUUGAGUGUGGAUAUAGCAAGUGAAAAAGUUUGUGUGCCUGCUUUCCCAGUCCGGGUGAAGUGAUUGAAAAUAAUGGCGAAUGUAAGUGGUGCUACGCUGAAAAGUGCACUUUUUCUGCUGAUUUUGCUGUCCGAUUGUCGUGUGAACUAUGCGGAAGAUCCUCCGAAAAAGUCCUCUGGUGAAUCCCAAACAACAGAUACGGUGAAGAUAUUUGCACACAAACCUUCAGUCAGCGAGGACAAAACGAGCGUCGCAAAGCAGAAACUGCUAAAUGAGAAUCUUACCGGCAAAAAAGCGCCGGCCAUGAACAGCACUACCGUCUACACCGAUCAGUUGCUUGGAUACAAUGGGACAGGUCAGCGCAAAGACUACUCUAUAGUGUCCAUUAAACCAGGUGCGGAACCAACCACUGUGUCGACACCCUCUGGCGGUAGUGUAAUUAAUGUGUCCGUUGAAGCUCGGGGGGGACUUGGCGUGGCCCGAGUGGGAGAUGGAAGUACAACAACCGUCGACCCACUAAGCGACGCCAUCAAUAUCGAUACUGUGGAGCGAAGCGAAGCGGAUCUCAAUACCACACUACAGAAUCACAAUAUCAUCUACCAGCAGGAAGAUUAUCACACGUACUACAACAGCGUCUGGACGACCGAUAAGAGCGCCAGUGAGGCAUACUGGAAGCGAUUGGACAAUAUGAACGUUAGCAGUUUACUUUCCAACUCGCACAGGAGAGCAACAACCGUUUUACUUUCGUUUGAUUUUCCUUACUACGGGUACCCAAUUCGAAACAUUACAAUCGCUACCGGAGGAUUCCUGUACACCGGCGAUUAUGUCCACUCGUGGCUUGCAUCGACGCAGUACAUCGCUCCACUGAUGGCUAACUUCGACACAAGUUUAUCGAAUAAUUCCUUUGUCAAGUUCCGCGAUGAUGGCGAAACCUUCACAGUGGUUUGGGAAAACGUCUCCCUUCAGGACAGACCGGAAAAUGGCUCGUUCACGUUCAGUGCCACCCUUAACAAAUCCGGGGACAUCGUGUUCGCCUAUCAAAUUAUCCCGAUUGACAUCCAGCAAAUCUAUGACGAUAAACAUCCGGUCAAGGUGGGCCUGUCGGAUGCCUACAUUAUCGAUAAAACUAUUUUCCGCACAAAGCAAAAAACCAUCUACGAGUAUCAUAGGGUUAACUUCGGUCGUUCGAAAGUACAGAACAAUACGUUGAUAACACUGUUCGCCCAGCCUACCUGUUUUAGCUUCAAGGAUUGCCAAUCUUGUAUGACCCACGAAGGAGCUGAGUUUAAGUGCAUAUGGUGCCCUACCUUAAACCGAUGUUCCACCGGUGUUGACCGCAAACGGCAAGAUUGGAUUCAAAAAGGCUGUGACAAGACCCAGAUAAUGGAUAUCUCAGUGUGUCCCGCACUUGGCCAGAAAGGUAAUAACUAUGGCGAACCGGUCGAAAUUAGUACCGAAGGCAAUGAAGCAAAUGGUACUUACCGACAUGAAACUGAAAUUCAGUUAUCAAAGAACGUAAAUAGCAAAACGGGACCUGCAGGCUCUGGCAGCAGUGGAGACGACAGUGUGAACAAAGUUCCUGCCUUCCACGCUGCCAUGGAGCAAGAAUCUUCAUCCAGCAGCAGCUUGCUAGUGUCGAUGAUGGUCAUCUUGGGCAUUUUGCUGGGCUGCGGAUGCUGGGUGCUGUAUGCGUACCGGAAUCCCCACACCAAGAGCGGCCAGUUGCUUAUCAGAGUGAGUAUUGAAAUGUCGAGCCUUCCCUAGUGUUUCCUGAAUCCUAACGAAACGUUCCAUUUCUUCUACGCGACGCGGCUUUGAAUCAAAGAUGCAAAAGUACCGUCCAAACAAAUGGUCUUGGCGGCGAGGCGAAGCACGCUAUACGGCCGCAACGAUUCACAUGUGAGAGCAGCACAUUCAGCAUCAUCCCCAGCACCCCGAGUACCAUCGGCCAAUGCUGCAUCUGGUUGGUCACGAGGAGGAACGCCUGUUGAGCUAUCUGUACCAGUUGAAUGACGAAGGCAUGGCUGGUGGUGAUCCAACGGGUUCCAUCUCAUGCGGACUAGAGGUUGCUGACUAUACGUUUACAACGGAACUGGGCGACUGAACACCACGAUAAGGAGAUCAAUAGCGAGAAGUGUGUACGAGAUAGUUAAAGUGUGAAAGAGACAGAAAUUUGUGUGCAAUAGUGAGCGCGAGCUUCUUUGUUAUGUUUCUUUUUAAUUCUACUCAGAAAGCAUACUUAAUCCCCUCGAGUAACGCAACGUGCGACGGCUUGUGGAAUCGAGGGGUACGUCCAGGGAUGAGCCCGAACCUGUUUUCCUUAAACAUCACAGAUUAGUUUUUUCCGUUUUUUAUCGUUUUUGAAAAAAAAAAGUUUUUCCUUUAACAAUUAUAGUGAUAUUUACACCCUUAAUUUAGCAAAAAAUCUGUCCAGUUUUAUUGAUAAGGUAGAAUUGUAAAUGUUUUCUUUUUUUUUCAUUUAGUUCUAUUUCUGCUGUUUUUAUAUGGAUGAAAAUGUGUUUUAUGAUUUUUAACGUUUACUGUUCUUACUUAACAGCCACCAAACUAGUUUUCUACUGUAUUUAACUAUCGUAUACUGUCGCCUGUUAGCACGUAUGGUAAAAAGCUUAUGAAUAAAGUACACGCAAGGAAACGCAGAAAACAGAGGUAUUUCGCACUUGUGUUGAAAACAAAAAAGAAAAAUCGAACAUAACUAAAAGAUGUGAUAACCGGUUCUUUCUAGAGACGUUUGAAAAAAAAAUGUAAGCCUCGGUUUCGGCACUAACGUAUCACCAGAUUCCGAAUUACAUCAGUUCGCUGAACAAAUAAUUCUUUGCCACUAGGAACAACACAAACGUACACUUUUAUAUUUAUUUUCCUGUUAAUUAAAGACAACGACUUUCUUUGCCGAACUUGUUUCAUCGAACCGAAGGUAAAGCUAAAAACGGAGAAUCGAUAUCAACACUGUUCUACACUAGACGAUAAGACUAUGUGCAAAUGAAGAUAAAUAUAGUUAUGGUAAAUAGUGGUAACGUAACAGUUUCCUCGAAAAAAAAACAAGCUUUUAAAGGUGCGUUAUUUCUUCGAAAGUGUGCUCUGUCAUUCCAAAUGAGUUGAAGACAAUAUGGAGUGUGAACAUUUUUAUGUACCUAUAUUCUUUGUUCUGAUAUAAACAGAAAGGAGUUGAAUUGCUGCUUCAGGGGGUUUACGAAGUUUCACAUACAGAUUAGCAGGCUGAGUUUUUUUUCAACUUGGCGCAUGCGAAGUCGAAAAAGGAUACAUUCGCAGCGAUUGCUGCGAUGAAAAUAAGAUGAUGUCAUUCUAGAUAUUUUUCUUGACUUGUAGAAGUUAGAGGUUGACAGUUUUAAAAAUCGUCGUUUACGAAAAAUGUUGACUAGGUCUUAAAUAUUUAAAGCAACCGUAAAAAUUGAGCGGAAGUGUUUGCCAGAUCCUGACAGAAAACAGUAUUUGCUUGUGCUGCUAAUGAAUAGUUGUGAUAUGAAUAAGGAAACACAAGGUAAAUAAUAAAUGUCUGUGGCAGUCGAAAAGAAUUAGAUAAUUUAUCGGUCGUCAAUAGUAGCAAACGUUCAGCUAACAUCCUUUUUACCCUUUUUACAUAUUGCUCCUUUCUGUUGAAAUGAUACCAAUCGUAUGCCAAUUUUUUAUGUAACAUGAAUAUUAGCUAUGAAAAGUUUAGCAACGAAGGGUUUGAAAGAUUCUUCACACUCACCACUUUGUAGAUCAAUUUUGACAUUAAUUUUGACUGAAAAAUUGUUGAUCUUAACAAGAUGGUAUCGAUUUGAGAUCGACUCCCGGGAGAGACUGUCGCUGUCAGAGCGUUAAGGUCCACACACAAUGGAUACGUUGCGGCUGCGUGUGCGACAAUUUGACAGUUAGCACACACAUUUUCUGUCAAAUCAACGUUAUCGCAACGCAAACGUAUCCAUUGUGCAUGGGCCUUCAGCCUCGCAGUUGUGUCCCGUGCACCAGCGGUUGUCAACCUGGGGUACGCGAAAGCCUGCAGGGGGUACCCGAAAGAAAAAUCAGUAGCAGCAAUCAAACCAUAGUUAAAUUUGAACCUUGAACUCGACUACCACAACAUGAUCUACCACUGCUCUCUCCCACUCUGUGAGAACAUGUGAACAUGUGUGUAUAAUUGAAUUGGAAAAUAUUGCGCGGACAAAAAAGGUUGAGAAGUCCGUGUAUAAUAAACAGAAGGUCGAGUUUCGAAUCGAAAUGUAGCACCAAAGCUUUGCUUUUUGAUCUUGACAAGUCGAGCAACUCGACUCGUCUUCAGUCACUCCAGUCAGUCGAGUAAAGUGACUUUCGACUCGUCUUACGUAACAUGGUCCUAAGUCUUCAAAUAUCAAUCAUUCACUUAUGCCUUUGCCACGUUCGAAAAACCAAGCGCACCAAACCGGAAUCGGAACAUCCUUCGAGGCAAUUGUUACUAGACCAUGGCACUCGAAAUAGUAUGUAGUAGUAACAUGUGCAACAUAGUACUCAACAAGAGCUGCAAUAUAGAUCGCUUAGCUUAAGGUGGCACCCUCAGAGAGAAAAAAAGAAAAUCAUCCCUUGAAAAUUAAACAAUCCAUUGUUGCUUGCAAUAAAAUAUCGAUUCCAAGAAUUAGAGGAGCACAUAGCACUUGUCUGCAAAACCAAAAUGACUGCACGCUAAAAAGCUAGCGUACAGAUAUUAACAUUAAUAUAGCUGCUUUAAAGCGUAAGUUUUGAAUCAUCAGGAUAAUCGAUUCUAAAAUUGCAGAAUUUGCAGGGAUUGUACGCAUUUUAGCUGUAAAAAGUAAAGUUUGGCAUUAACCUGGCACUUCUUCAUAGCUCAGUAGAAUCUUCUAUAAAUCCCUUAAUUCAGCACAAGUGCGUCGAACUAAUCUCGCAUGAUUUACUUAUUCGAAUUGGCAAAGUUUUCUACUACAACUUGCAACCAUGGCAUCCUUCCAAACGAGAGGAAAGGCACAAAGUAGACGAUCGAUAUGUUUAGUUCACUUAAAUCUUUUUUAUAUACAUUACAGUGCCUUACGAAACGAUGGCAAUGGAAACAGUGUUUUUCCGUCGUUUUCUCCAUCGAAAGCAUUUCGUUUUUGAUUCCAAAUUGUGCACAACGAUUGUGUAGACCGUAUCGUUAAUUUUGUUUGCUGGCACACAUUGAAACGUUCAUUACUAGAGUUUGGAAUCCCGUUUUUCUAGUGUACCUUGUCUCGUGCAUCUUAAGGAAUUGAUUUCUUCAAAAAAUUCUAACCAACGCUGCAAACUUUUUGGUCGAAAAUAAGACACGUUUUUAAAAAAAAUUGUUGAUUGGGCUUGCCCAUUUUACCAUAUACAACUGUAAACAAAAUCAACGAUCCGAGUCUAAAAGCGUUUCCAAAAGAAAACCUUGGUAUAAAAAAUGUUUAAAUGGUUUGCGUAAAAGCUUAAAGAUAUACUAGAUAAAUAAUGAAUGUCUUUAGAUGUGUCCACAGAGAUAAAUUUUGGCUAAUGACACGAAAAUAAAACUGGAAGAAAAAGUGAAAAACAUGAAGAAA
Wyeomyia smithii (pitcher-plant mosquito) is the source of this 5883-nucleotide RNA transcript. It is a transcript of the gene named plexin domain-containing protein 2, with no coding region annotated. Lineage: Eukaryota; Metazoa; Arthropoda; Insecta; Diptera; Culicidae. The record is from RefSeq and is a predicted model, not a curated record. The transcript is spliced from 8 exons.